RNAcentral lists this ribosomal RNA (1287 nucleotides) under Extensimonas sp. SYC57. RNAcentral describes it as "bacterial SSU rRNA". It matches the Rfam family "Bacterial small subunit ribosomal RNA", at positions 34 to 1287 of the family's 1533-position model. Lineage: Bacteria; Pseudomonadati; Pseudomonadota; Betaproteobacteria; Burkholderiales; Comamonadaceae. The record is from RNAcentral.
CCUUUGGGGUGCUCUCACGUGCGCUCGGAUCGUAGGCUGGGUCGGAUGCAGACGAGUGGUGCACGGGCGAGUAACACAUCGGAACGUGCCUAGAGGUGGGGAGUAACUACGCGAAAGAGUGUAGAUUACAGCAUGAGAUCUACGGAUGAAAGCAGGGGACCUUCAGGCCUUGAGCUACGUUAGCGGGUGAUGCCCGAUUGGGCGCCUGGCGGGGGAAAGGCUUACCAAGCCUGCGAUCUGUAGCUGGGCUGAGAGGAUGACCAGCCCCACUGGUCCUGACCCUGGUCCAACUCUUCAACGGGAGGCAGCAGUGGGGAAUUUUGGACAAUGGGCGAAAGCCUGAUCCAGCAAUGCCCCGAACAGGAUGAAGGCCCUCGGGUUGUAAACUGCUUUUGUACUGAACGAAAAGCCUGGGGCUAAUAUCCCCGGGUCAUGACGGUACCGUAAGAAUAAGCACCGGCUAACUACGUGCCAGCAGCCGCGGUAAUACGUAGGGUGCAAGCGUUAAUCGGAAUUACUGGGCGUAAAGCGUGCGCAGGCGGUUUUGUAAGACAGUGGUGAAAUCCCCGGGCUCAACCUGGGAACUGCCAUUGUGACUGCAAAGCUAGAGUGCGGCAGAGGGGGGAUGGAAUUCCGCGUGUAGCAGUGAAAUGCGUAGAUAUGCGGAGGAACACCGAUGGCGAAGGCAAUCCCCCUGGGCCUGCACUGACGCUCAUGCACGAAAGCGUGAGGAGCAAACAGGAUUAGAUACCCUGGUAGUCCACGCCCUAAACGAUGUCAACUGGUUGUUGGGUCUUAACUGACUCAGUAACGAAGCUAACGCGUGAAGCUGACCGCCUGCGGAGUACGGCCGCAAGGUUGAAACUCAAAGGAAUUGACGGGGACCCGCGCACGCGCGGAUGAUGUGGUUUAAGUUCGAUUGCAUCGCGAAAAACCUUACCCUCUUUUGAUAUGGCAGAUACCUUACCAAAGAUGGAUAGGUGCUCGAGAGAGAACCUGCCACCCAGAAGCUGCGAUGGCUGUCGUCUGCUCCGCGUCCUGGAGAUGAUGAGGUUAGGUCCACGACAACGAGCCGCAAACCCCUUGCCCUUUACUUUGCUUACGUUUCCAGUUGAUCACCUCCUGAAUGCGCACCUAGCCCGGAUGACAACCGGAAAGACAGGGUGGGGGAAGUGCACGUCCAGAUCCUCCUCAUGGCCUUUGUAGUGAGGGAGCGUGGCGACCUAACACGCGCGUUCAAUACAGAUUGUCCUAGGGAACGAGAGUGAUAUUGCACAGCAGCAUCGA